UGCCUCGCUUUCAGGGGACUGCGGAGGGUAUCCCCCGCCCCACCCACAGUCCCGAGGCCUCGGGAUAGGGUGGCAUGUCGCAGAGUGUCGCGGCUGUGCAAAUUUGGAAGCCCACAGCAUCGCCUGACCUCUUGUGCAAUCCCCAACGCUAGCCUGUCUAACCCUGAGUGGGCUUCAGCAACCGGUCGUGUCAGCGGCCCCUGCACGUUUGCACCCGCGGUUUCCGCUGUCUGCAGGCUGCAGAGACUGGGGCAUUCCAAACGUGAAAGCGCAAUGAAGGAAAAUGCAGACUGAGCGAGGACGCCGAAAUUUGGCUAAGCUAUUGAGAAGGCUACAAUAUGUGGAAGUGUUUAUCAGAUAUCUGGGCCGAGAGCAUAACUUCCUGUCAGCCCAAAUAGUGGCAAAAAUAUUUUAAAGGCCAAAGAAUAAUCAGAGGCAGGGGAUUUGGAGCUGACCGGCGUUGAGCUGAGUGUUGCUGCACUUUGCAGGGCUGCUUGAUUGGAUACUGUGCCAGGCGCUAGGGGUACAAUCAAGAUGAAUCCCCAGAAAUAGUCCUUGCAAACCCCAAGAUGCACACAAGAAUCAUUGACUGCUAUCCAAAUACCCUACAUGAGUGAUUGCAAACUGAUGGCCAUCUGGCCCUGAAAUACUCAGAGAUUCACCCUCACUCUUCCUGGUGCCCUUGGAACCCUCUGUGAUUUUGCCCUCAUUCCUUGCAUGCGAUACCAACGGAGUCCUUUUUAAUUACUUCCCUGACUACCUCCCAAACCUCCCUAUUGAUCACCCAAACUGACUCACUUAUAUGCUCAUAUGAUUUGGCCGUGUCUCCACCCAAAUCUCAUCUUGAAUCUUGAAUUGUAGCUCCCAUUAUCCCCACCU
This is a long non-coding RNA of Cercocebus atys (sooty mangabey), 879 nucleotides long. RefSeq lists it as uncharacterized. Lineage: Eukaryota; Metazoa; Chordata; Mammalia; Primates; Cercopithecidae. The record is from RefSeq and is a predicted model, not a curated record. The transcript has 3 exons.